Long non-coding RNA from Selaginella moellendorffii, 447 nucleotides. RefSeq lists it as uncharacterized. The record is from RefSeq and is a predicted model, not a curated record. Lineage: Eukaryota; Viridiplantae; Streptophyta; Lycopodiopsida; Selaginellales; Selaginellaceae. The transcript has 3 exons.
CAGGAUCCAAGAUGGGGCCGAUGCUUCAGGAGAUGCUACAGCGAGAAGCCGCAGCUCGUCAAGGCUAUGACGACGAUUAUCUCGGGGCUUCAAGCUGCGGCUUGCUCCAAGCACUAUGAACUGUGCCAACAGGAAUUCGUGAUCCCUGAUUGGCAAGGCAUUGACAGGAUCACAAAACCCGGCACAUACUUACACAGUUCUCGUCUCAGUGGAAUUGACAUGAAGAUAAUGACUUCUUGCUUCAUCAUGGUGCCCCGUACGAGUACACCAAGUUCAUCGGCACUCUGACGUCUCUGGUGAAGGAAGGUUUCAUCUCCAUGGACAGGAUUGAUGACACGGUGCGGAGACUUCGCUUUGUGAUGUUCUCGGCAGGUUUGAUCGGCGUAAGCGGCCCUCGAAGCUCAAACUUUCGGAUUUUUAUACGUAAGCUUUCCUGCUAGGCUCACA